Molecule: long non-coding RNA, 446 nt
Organism: Pezoporus flaviventris
Lineage: Eukaryota; Metazoa; Chordata; Aves; Psittaciformes; Psittacidae
Exons: 2
Source: RefSeq, a predicted model, not a curated record
UGUUGGCCAUCUCCUUCUCAGAUUCGGCACUCUUCAGCAAGGGCUUGAUCUUAAAGAACAGCUUCAUCCAGGGCCAGUGCUUCACAUUCAUGAAGGACCUAACAUUGUACUGAAUGCAGAAGAUGGACUCCCUGAAAGGAAUGAGGCAUCGCACAAAAUGAGGAUGUGUGCUUCGCAGAUUGCUCAUCAGCUUGUUUAAAUUCUCCUUGAAGAGCAAGAGCAAAGACUUGGGUUUAAGAAUGUCAUGUGUACAAUAUCACUAAUAGAUGGAGUAAAGACACUGCAAUAAAACCAUCAGCAGUAUUUUCUUUUUUAUCAAAUUUUCAUGCAGCUCUGAAAGAAUACUUCUGAGGAUUCAAUGAGAAUCCUUUGUUAAGAAGCACAUGCCUUUAUUUUUUCUGACAAUAAGGAUUUUGCAUAUGAAAUUAAUCUAAAACUUUUCUGAA